AUUGAACGCUGGCGGCAUGCCUUACACAUGCAAGUCGAACGGCAGCAUGAUCUAGCUUGCUAGAUUGAUGGCGAGUGGCGAACGGGUGAGUAAUACAUCGGAACGUGCCCUGUAGUGGGGGAUAACUAGUCGAAAGAUUAGCUAAUACCGCAUACGACCUGAGGGUGAAAGUGGGGGACCGCAAGGCCUCAUGCUAUAGGAGCGGCCGAUGUCUGAUUAGCUAGUUGGUGAGGUAAAGGCUCACCAAGGCGACGAUCAGUAGCUGGUCUGAGAGGACGAUCAGCCACACUGGGACUGAGACACGGCCCAGACUCCUACGGGAGGCAGCAGUGGGGAAUUUUGGACAAUGGGCGAAAGCCUGAUCCAGCAAUGCCGUGUGUGUGAAGAAGGCCUUCGGGUUGUAAAGCACUUUUGUCCGGGAAGAAAUGGCUCUGGUUAAUACCUGGGGUCGAUGACGGUACCGGAAGAAUAAGGACCGGCUAACUACGUG
Molecule: ribosomal RNA, 490 nt
Filed under: uncultured bacterium
Lineage: Bacteria
Description: partial 16S ribosomal RNA
Rfam family: Bacterial small subunit ribosomal RNA
Source: RNAcentral